This is a long non-coding RNA of Trachymyrmex septentrionalis, 720 nucleotides long. RefSeq lists it as uncharacterized. NCBI's taxonomy places the organism in Eukaryota, Metazoa, Arthropoda, Insecta, Hymenoptera, Formicidae. The transcript has 4 exons. The record is from RefSeq and is a predicted model, not a curated record.
UUAACGGAUAAUAAGACAAUGACUGAACGUUGAACGGCUAAUGCUUCGUUAAUCCCAUCCUCUGACGGUAUCCUACCGAUAUUCUCAGCGAACUGAACUUGAAAUCGUAAUAUCUACAAUUAUGGCAGAUAGAUUGCCUCUUGGUAUGUUGUAUUCUGCAUUAGUGCAGAUAAGAUAAAAUGAGCGAGCCGAGAUAAAGGUAGGAAUAUUGAGUCAAUAUUGACGUUUGAAAGACAAAGCCGGAAGUUGAAAUAAUUUGAAGCGGUAGUUUAUGCGAAAUUGUAUUCUUGGAAAUUCUACGGAUUCUACGAUGGAUCUACAGGCUCAAUGUUGACCUUACUCGGUCGUCACAAAGCAACCGGAGCAGCGUUCGCGUGCACUUAUUGUACUUUCGUGGCUAUAAUUCAACGUUUGUGAGCCCGCAUUGAAACACGCGGCGGUCGUAUGUCCUACCAAGGCUAAUUCCCGGAAUUGGUGCAAGACUUGCCGGCAACGCGCGUAAAGUUUUCUCUUUCGCGUGUCCUUACAUACUAAUUCAUCGAUCUGCAUUUUUACAUGGCUUUCAGUAUACUGGAAGUUUCUCGUUAACGCUUCGCUGACCGCAGAACGACAAAUGCUCGCCCUUAUCAGUUUUAUCUCGUGAAAAGGUGUAAUAUUACGUCAAUGGUUACCAGCUACGAGGAACAAAAAGACGCUCUACUACGUCAACAAUCGCAAAAA